Strigops habroptila (Kakapo) is the source of this 443-nucleotide long non-coding RNA. RefSeq lists it as uncharacterized. NCBI's taxonomy places the organism in Eukaryota, Metazoa, Chordata, Aves, Psittaciformes, Psittacidae. The record is from RefSeq and is a predicted model, not a curated record. The transcript is spliced from 3 exons.
GCAUCAUCUGUGUUCAGAAGCUGUACAGAAAAAUGAUACAGAGAAUACCAUCAGAAUUUACUUAGAAAAGACUACUUCAAAUACAACCAAAAUUCUGGCUUACACAAUUCCUUGCCUUCCACAGAGGUGCAGCAGAUGCCAUGGGUGAUGUCGUCGAAAGCAAAAGAAAACACUUUCGGGUUUUUUUCCCUCCAGUGAAUGCUCCUUAUUGAAGAAGUAAAUUAAGUUACUUUAGAAAGCUCCAUUCUAAUCAGGUACACCCUAGUUGUGGAUGAAAUAAAAGUCCUGCUUAUAGCUCACUGUCUGACUGGUUUGCAGUGGAAAACUGAGCUGUUUUGAGGAACAAUGCAUGAACUGUGAAAUUGUAGGCACAAAAACAAGGUAAGAGAACUCAAGGUUCUUUCUGAGUUGCUUUUGCGUACAAAGUACUUUUCCUUUGAACC